UGCCUUCUGGAAUGUUAUGCUCAAUUACUAAGUUCCAAUCUUUAUCCCAUAUACAUACUGAACCAUCCGAGCUUGCAGUAAUUAAAUAAUCAUCAACAGGGUAGACAGAUUUGACGCUAACUUGAUUAGAAAAUUUUGAAUUUUUAAUUUGUUGAGUAUAGAAUAUAAAAAGACACUUACCGUUUCUUAUGCGCCGUAAAUUCAUGUAAAAUCUUCCCAUCAGAAGUAUCCAAAACCAGUACUGUUCCAUUAUCUCGUCCAACUAUCAAUUUGGAUUGAUAGAGACACAAAGCGUUCAAUUGAGAUUUAGAAGAGAAGCUGAAAAGGGAAGUGAGAUCCUAAAAAUGUAUUAGUAAUUUAUAAAAGAAGGAGGAAAAUUGCAUAUAGAAAAAUGCAUAAAUUCUUACCAAUUUAAAGGCAUCAAUGCCUCUUCGUGACAUAAUAACAAAUGACGACUCAUUCAGGAAAAGAAUAGAUUCUGGGAUAGUGCUUAAAGGUAAAACUUUACCUCCUUUACCUCGUACAAGGUCCCAGAGCCGCAACUUUCCAUCACCUCCAACUGUUAGGGCCAAUUUUUCUGAAGGGUGAACUGCUAUACCAGUGAUGCCCUUAUGAGAAGAUGACUUAAGAGUAUGAACCAACAACCAUGAACCUUUAGACCACAUACUGAUUUGCCCGUUAUCAUGACAUGCUAAAAGGUGAUUUUUAGUAAAACACAUAUCUCGGAUACAUGCAUUGGCGAUAUCUGUAGGAACAGAAACAUCGGCUAUUUGGACGUUACGAGUGUGAUCGAAAAUUCUGAAACGAUGUUAGAUUAUGCUUAAAAGGAUAAUUAAAUACAAGGAAGGAAGAAUGAAACCAUUUAAGUCCAGUUUCAUAAUUCCAGUUGCAAAUAACUUACUUAAUUGUUUCAUCACUGCUAGUAGAAGCCAAGUAAAUACCGUCGACAGCUAACGCGGUUAAAGCUCCUUCAUGAGCUUCAAAAAGCCACAAGGGCUUGCAUUUUUUCCUCUCAAUGUCUGCAUCAACACCGUAAAUGAGGUGAGUAUAUGUUCCAACUACAAAACGGAGCAUCGGUGACUAAAGUAUGACAAUUGAAGCCUAAAUCCAGUUAUACAAAACCCAAAGUAAGUUAUAAUAAGCACCCGAUCCUUUUGCUUUUUCUAUUAUAAUUUAAUUGAGUCCUAAACCACAAAUUCUCAAAUACCAAGUAAGAAGGAGAGAGUAGCAAAGAAUUUGCAGGUGUAAUGAAAUUUUA
This is a non-coding RNA of Schizosaccharomyces pombe (fission yeast), 1258 nucleotides long. Lineage: Eukaryota; Fungi; Ascomycota; Schizosaccharomycetes; Schizosaccharomycetales; Schizosaccharomycetaceae. The record is from the annotation of a GenBank genome assembly.